CCUCAUGUCUUCUUUCCCCUCCUUCUUUCUUUCCUCCUCCUCUCUCUUCCUUCUCCUCUUCUCCCUCUCUUUCUGUGGCUUCAUCCCUCCCCUCCUUGAAACUAAAUUCCACUGUAAACAACCCCGAACAAUAGCAGCCAAAGGGAAGUGCACACAAUAACCUUGUGCGAGAAACCGGGGCCAUGUCCAUGCCAAGCCAAAUCUCACCCAUCAUGUC
RNAcentral lists this long non-coding RNA (217 nucleotides) under Elaeis guineensis (African oil palm). RNAcentral describes it as "long non-coding RNA (EGUI_LNC003081)". The record is from RNAcentral. Lineage: Eukaryota; Viridiplantae; Streptophyta; Magnoliopsida; Arecales; Arecaceae.